GGGGCCUUGGGGCUGGGCAGGGGGCAAUGGGGAGUCACGUGAGGUGCCUCUGGGGGCUUCUCCAGGCAGUGGGGCCCCCAGACAACUGUCUCCCCUCGCCCGAUCGUUGUUACGCGCCUGAGCUCUUCCUCCAAGGAGCCCAGAGUGGUGUACAUAGUUAUGUGCAUAUGCCUCACACAACAGCCCUGUGGGUUAAGUUAGGCUAAGAGAUGUGAUAAGAGGAAUAGGAGUAUUCAACCAAGGGAAGUUGAAGUUGAAGAGGAGGAGUCUUCAAUCAAUGGAAGACAAGUCUGAAAUCAAUAGAGGGGGAGUGGAGGCAGCAGCCACACAUUUCCUCCCAGCACAGAAGCAAG
Molecule: long non-coding RNA, 353 nt
Organism: Hemicordylus capensis (graceful crag lizard)
Lineage: Eukaryota; Metazoa; Chordata; Lepidosauria; Squamata; Cordylidae
Exons: 3
Source: RefSeq, a predicted model, not a curated record